CCUACGGGGGGCUGCAGUGAGGAAUAUUGGUCAAUGGACGAGAGUCUGAACCAGCCAAGUAGCGUGAAGGAUGACUGCCCUAUGGGUUGUAACCUUCUUUUAUAUGGGAAUAAAAUGUUCCACGUGUGGGAUUUUGUAUGUACUUUAUGAAUAAGGAUCGGCUAACUCCGUGCCAGCAGCCGCGGUAAUACGGAGGAUCCGAGCGUUAUCCGGAUUUCUUGGGGUUAAAGGGAGCGUAGGUGGGUUGUUAAGUCAGUUGUGAAAGUUUGCGGCUCAACCGUAAAAUUGCAGUUGAAACUGGCAGUCUUGAGUACAGUAGAGGUGGGCGGAAUUCGUGGUGUAGCGGUGAAAUGCUUAGAUAUCACGAAGAACCCCGAUUGCGAAGGCAGCUCACUGAACUGCAACUGACACUGAGGCUCGAAAGUGUGGGUAUCAAACAGGAUUAGAUACCCUUGUAGUC
RNAcentral lists this ribosomal RNA (460 nucleotides) under uncultured bacterium. RNAcentral's name for it is "partial 16S ribosomal RNA". It matches the Rfam family "Bacterial small subunit ribosomal RNA", at positions 338 to 795 of the family's 1533-position model. The record is from RNAcentral.